Molecule: ribosomal RNA, 392 nt
Filed under: uncultured bacterium
Lineage: Bacteria
Description: bacterial SSU rRNA
Rfam family: Bacterial small subunit ribosomal RNA
Source: RNAcentral
AUUGAACGCUGGCGGCAUGCCUUACACAUGCAAGUCGAACGGCCGCACGGGGGCAACCCUGGUGGCGAGUGGCGAACGGGUGAGUAACGCAUCGGAAUGUACCCAGUAUGGGGGAUAACUAGUCGAAAGAUUAGCUAAUACCGCAUACGCACUGAGGUGGAAAGCGGGGAUCGCAAGACCUCGCGCUAUUGGAGCAGCCGAUGUCCGAUUAGGUAGUUGGUGGGGUAAAGGCCUACCAAGCCUGCGAUCGGUAACUGGUCUGAGAGGACGACCAGUCACACUGGGACUGAGACACGGCCCAGACUCCUACGGGAGGCAGCAGUGGGGAAUUUUGGACAAUGGGCGGAAGCCUGAUCCAGCCAUGCCGCGUGAGUGAAGAAGGCCUCGGUUGU